UACCGGCGCCUCAAGUGGUCAGGAUGAUUAUUGGGCCUAAAGCAUCCGUAGCCGGCUCUGUUAGCUUUCGGUUAAAUCUAUGUGCUCAACGCAUGGGCUGUCGAAAAUACUGCAGAGCUAGGGAGUGGGAGAGGUAGACGGUACUCAGUAGGAGGGGGUAAAAUCCUUUGAUCUAUUGAUGACCACCUGUGGCGAAGGCGGUCUACCAGAACACGUUCGACGGUGAGGGAUGAAAGCUGGGGGAGCAAACCGG
This 253-nucleotide ribosomal RNA is filed under the name uncultured archaeon. RNAcentral's name for it is "partial 16S ribosomal RNA". It matches the Rfam family "Archaeal small subunit ribosomal RNA", at positions 474 to 727 of the family's 1478-position model. The record is from RNAcentral.